AGUGAACGCUGGCGGUAGGCCUAACACAUGCAAGUCGAACGGCAGCACAGUAAGAGCUUGCUCUUACGGGUGGCGAGUGGCGGACGGGUGAGGAAUACAUCGGAAUCUACUUUUUCGUGGGGGAUAACGUAGGGAAACUUACGCUAAUACCGCAUACGACCUACGGGUGAAAGCAGGGGAUUUUCGGAUUUUGCGCGAUUGAAUGAGCCGAUGUCGGAUUAGCUAGUUGGCGGGGUAAAGGCCCACCAAGGCGACGACCCGUAGCUGGUCUGAGAGGAUGAUCAGCCACACUGGAACUGAGACACGGUCCAGACUCCUACGGGAGGCAGCAGUGGGGAAUAUUGGACAAUGGGCGCAAGCCUGAUCCAGCCAUACCGCGUGGGUGAAGAAGGCCUUCGGGUUGUAAAGCCCUUUUGUUGGGAAAGAAAAGCAGCAGGUUAAUACCCCGCUGUUCUGACGGUACCAAAAGAAUAAGCACCGGCUAACUUCGUG
RNAcentral lists this ribosomal RNA (492 nucleotides) under uncultured bacterium. Its description in RNAcentral is "partial 16S ribosomal RNA". It matches the Rfam family "Bacterial small subunit ribosomal RNA", at positions 29 to 507 of the family's 1533-position model. The record is from RNAcentral.